GACGAACGCUGGCGGCGUGCCUAACACAUGCAAGUCGAACGGUCAAGCUACAGCUUGCUGGCGCGGACCAGUGGCGAACGGGUGAGUAACACGUGAGCAAAACGUCCCUGACUCUGGAAUAAGCGCUGGAAACGGCGGCUAAUACUGGAUACGAUAAGUGUCCGCAUGGGCUUCUAUUGGAAAGUUGUGCGGUUGGGGCUCGGAUCGCGGGCUACCCGCCUGUUGGUGAGGUAAUGGAUGACCAAGGCGACGAAGGGUACCCGGCAUGGGAGGGGGACCGGGCACACUAGGACUGAGAGAGGGCCCAGACGCCUACGGGAGGCAACGGUGGGAAAGAUUGCGCAAUGGGCGAGAGCCUGAUGCAGCGGCGCCGCGUGAGGGAUGACGGCCUUCGGGUGAAAAACCUCUGUCAGCGGGGAAGAAGCGAAAGUGACGGUACCUGCAGAAGAAGCAACGGCUAACUACGUG
RNAcentral lists this ribosomal RNA (468 nucleotides) under uncultured bacterium. Its description in RNAcentral is "partial 16S ribosomal RNA". It matches the Rfam family "Bacterial small subunit ribosomal RNA", at positions 28 to 507 of the family's 1533-position model. The record is from RNAcentral.